RNAcentral lists this ribosomal RNA (253 nucleotides) under uncultured bacterium. RNAcentral's name for it is "partial 16S ribosomal RNA". It matches the Rfam family "Bacterial small subunit ribosomal RNA", at positions 524 to 776 of the family's 1533-position model. The record is from RNAcentral.
UACGGAGGGUGCAAGCGUUAAUCGGAAUUACUGGGCGUAAAGCGUGCGCAGGCGGUUUGUUAAGUCCGUUGUGAAAGCCCCGAGCUCAACUUGGGAAUUGCAGUGGAUACUGGCAGGCUGGAGUACGGUAGAGGAAGGUGGAAUUCCCGGUGUAGCAGUGAAAUGCGUAGAUAUCGGGAGGAACACCAGUGGCGAAGGCGGCCUUCUGGACCAGUACUGACGCUGAGACGCGAAAGCGUGGGGAGCGAACAGG